This 73-nucleotide transfer RNA is filed under the name Thermoplasmata archaeon HGW-Thermoplasmata-1. RNAcentral describes it as "tRNA-Ala". It matches the Rfam family "tRNA". From Rfam's summary of the family: Transfer RNA (tRNA) molecules are approximately 80 nucleotides in length. Their secondary structure includes four short double-helical elements and three loops (D, anti-codon, and T loops). The record is from RNAcentral. Lineage: Archaea; Methanobacteriati; Thermoplasmatota; Thermoplasmata. RNAcentral also lists the same sequence under 1 other name.
GGGCCGGUAGAUCAGUUGGAAGAUCGCUUCCUUGGCAUGGAAGAGGCCGCGAGUUCAAAUCUCGCCCGGUCCA